UGGCCAGGGGCUUAAAGAAGUACGCUGAGCGGCGUGCCUAAUACCCGCAAGUCGAACGCUUCUUUUUCCACCGGACCUUGCUCCACCGGAAAAAGAAGAGUGGCGAACGGGUGAGUAACACGUGGGUAACCUGCCCAUCAGAAGGGGAUAACACUUGGAAACAGGUGCUAAUACCGUAUAACAAUCAAAACCGCAUGGUUUUGAUUUGAAAGGCGCUUUCGGGUGUCGCUGAUGGAUGGACCCGCGGUGCAUUAGCUAGUUGGUGAGGUAACGGCUCACCAAGGCCACGAUGCAUAGCCGACCUGAGAGGGUGAUCGGCCACAUUGGGACUGAGACACGGCCCAAACUCCUACGGGAGGCAGCAGUAGGGAAUCUUCGGCAAUGGACGAAAGUCUGACCGAGCAACGCCGCGUGAGUGAAGAAGGUUUUCGGAUCGUAAAACUCUGUUGUUAGAGAAGAACAAGGAUGAGAGUAACUGUUCAUCCCUUGACGGUAUCUAACCAGAAAGCCACGGCUAACUACGUGCCAGCCGCCGCGGUAAUUA
Molecule: ribosomal RNA, 544 nt
Filed under: Enterococcus faecalis
Lineage: Bacteria; Bacillati; Bacillota; Bacilli; Lactobacillales; Enterococcaceae
Description: bacterial SSU rRNA
Rfam family: Bacterial small subunit ribosomal RNA
Source: RNAcentral